Molecule: non-coding RNA, 65 nt
Organism: Thrips palmi
Lineage: Eukaryota; Metazoa; Arthropoda; Insecta; Thysanoptera; Thripidae
Source: the annotation of a RefSeq genome assembly
AAUUAAUUAGCUUAUUUAAAGCGUAUAUUUUGAAAAUAUAAGAAAGACAAAAAAUUUAUUAAUUU